CAGGGAGACAAAAACUGAUCGUGAUGUCUGAGUAGAUUUAAAACUUAGGCCAUGAUCCUGUCACCUUAGGUCGAUCGGUACCUCAGAUUUCUUUUUAAAUACAACUACUAAUCAGUUUUAUUUGAUAGAUAAUUUCAGUUCCUAAACUUUGUCUAGGUCACACCCAACAAGGGUACUCCUGGGCCAUUAGCUCAGGUGGUUAGAGCGCACCCCUGAUAAGGGUGAGGUCCCUGGUUCAAGUCCAGGAUGGCCCAUUCGGUUUGGGGGUAUAGCUCAGUUGGUAGAGCGCCUGCUUUGCAAGCAGGAUGUCAGCGGUUCGAGUCCGCUUACCUCCACUGAUCGACUCCUCGUAACCAAGUUAAAGGAGAUUUGGCUCUUUGUUUUGUGUGACUUAGCCGGUCUGACACUGAUUGAACCUAGCUUCUUGUCAUCCCUCUUCUAAAAAUUAAUUAGAUCAGGUUGAUAUGACGCUGGGCUCACUGAAAUUCAAAAGGAUUUCAGGGAUCUUCAGUAGAACCUUGACAACUGCAUAGGAUAAUUUGAAAAAGAAUAAAGCAUCUCAUAGAGGCAUUAUUCUUUUUAUUCAGCAUCAUGCUAAAUAAAGGAAUAAUGUUGAAUUCUUGAGUAAGAGCCGAGACUCUAAAACAUCCUUUUAGUACAAUUAAUUGUUUAAGAGUUUGAUUACUGAUUUGUAAGAUUAAUUGCUAAUCAGUGAGAAUUAGUGUUAACACCACAAGGUGUUUUAGAGAUUAAU
This 754-nucleotide transfer RNA is filed under the name uncultured cyanobacterium. RNAcentral describes it as "partial contains 16S ribosomal RNA, 16S-23S ribosomal RNA intergenic spacer, and 23S ribosomal RNA". The stretch from base 263 to 335 matches the Rfam family "tRNA". Lineage: Bacteria; Bacillati; Cyanobacteriota. The record is from RNAcentral.